Molecule: long non-coding RNA, 465 nt
Organism: Ornithodoros turicata
Lineage: Eukaryota; Metazoa; Arthropoda; Arachnida; Ixodida; Argasidae
Exons: 3
Source: RefSeq, a predicted model, not a curated record
GCCUCGUUCCCAGGGUCAAACUAGAGCUUCUCCUAUCUUGAAUAUGUGACUCACUCCCUAUCUUGAAUAUGUGUGAUUUCCCCCGUAGACAACGAGUUACAUGUGAAAAUGCGGGUCAUGUUUUUCUGCACACACCCUGUACAUGUACGUAUAUUUACCUUGUGCCUUAUCUUGAAAAUGCGUUGCACCCUUGCACGGCAGCCUUCUUUUGUGCAACAGCAGCGCAACAAUCAUUUCCCCAACAGUGACGAGGAUUCAGUGUCUUGCUGCUUCUCGCUACUCGUCCUUCUGAGGAACUGAUUGCUUCUGAAAUAUCUUUUUCUCCCUCCACGACUUCGACGAUAGAAGCGGCCCAUGAACGCAAGCUCACAAACAACAACAACAAAGGGAAGGCAGAAAUGUGUGCACAUCCAUAACUGAAAAACCCGAGACUAGGGGACAGAAAAAUGACAAAAACAGACAAGG